This 301-nucleotide ribosomal RNA is filed under the name uncultured bacterium. RNAcentral describes it as "partial 16S ribosomal RNA". It matches the Rfam family "Bacterial small subunit ribosomal RNA", at positions 509 to 807 of the family's 1533-position model. The record is from RNAcentral.
CAGUCGCCACGGGAAUACAGAGGGUGCAAGCGUUAAUCGGAAUUACUGGGCGUAAAGCGCGCGUAGGUGGUUUGUUAAGUUGGAUGUGAAAUCCCCGGGCUCAACCUGGGAACUGCAUCCAAAACUGGCAAGCUAGAGUAUGGUAGAGGGUGGUGGAAUUUCCUGUGUAGCGGUGAAAUGCGUAGAUAUAGGAAGGAACACCAGUGGCAAAGGCGACCACCUGGACUGAUACUGACACUGAGGUGCGAAAGCGUGGGGAGCAAACAGGAUUAGAUACCCGAGUAGUCCCUGUCUCUUAUAC